Molecule: ribosomal RNA, 274 nt
Filed under: Diversispora epigaea
Lineage: Eukaryota; Fungi; Glomeromycota; Glomeromycetes; Diversisporales; Diversisporaceae
Rfam family: Eukaryotic large subunit ribosomal RNA
Source: RNAcentral
CAGUCGCGUUGGCUAGAAAUCAACAUUGCUCUUGCUUUGUGUAUUUUCUGGUUGACGGGUCAGCAUCAAUUUUGGCCAUUGGAUAAAGGCAUUGGGAAUGUGGCAUCUCAGGAUGUGUUAUAGUUUCUGGUCGUAUACAUCGGUUGGGAUUGAGGAACUCAGCACGCCGCAAGGUCGGGGUUCGCCCACGUUCGUGCUUAGGGUGCUGGCAUAAUGACUUUAAUCGACCCGUCUUGAAACACGGACCAAGGAGUCUAACAUGUGUGCGAGUGUU